GAUGAACGCUGGCGGCGUGCUUAACACAUGCAAGUCGAACGAUGAAGCCCAGCUUGCUGGCUGGAUUAGUGGCGAACGGGUGAGUAACACGUGAGUAACCUGCCCUUAACUCUGGGAUAAGCCUGGGAAACUGGGUCUAAUACCGGAUAGGAGCGUCCACCGCAUGGUGGGUGUUGGAAAGAUUUAUCGGUUUUGGAUGGACUCGCGGCCUAUCAGCUUGUUGGUGAGGUAAUGGCUCACCAAGGCGACGACGGGUAGCCGGCCUGAGAGGGUGACCGGCCACACUGGGACUGAGAGACGGCCCAGACUCCUACGGGAGGCAGCAGUGGGGAAUAUUGCACAAUGGGCGCAAGCCUGAUGCAGCGACGCCGCGUGAGGGAUGACGGCCUUCGGGUUGUAAACCUCUUUCAGUAGGGAAGAAGCGAAAGUGACGGUACCUGAAGAAGAAGCACCGGCUAACUACGUG
This 466-nucleotide ribosomal RNA is filed under the name uncultured bacterium. RNAcentral describes it as "partial 16S ribosomal RNA". It matches the Rfam family "Bacterial small subunit ribosomal RNA", at positions 28 to 507 of the family's 1533-position model. The record is from RNAcentral.